CCUACGGGUGGCAGCAGUGGGGGAUAUUGCACAAUGGGGGGAACCCUGAUGCAGCGACGCCGCGUGGGUGAAGGAGCGUUUCGGCGCGUAAAGCUCUAUCGGCAGGGAAGAAGAUGACGGUACAUGACCAAGAAGCCCCGGAUAACUACGUGCCAGCAGCCGAGGUAAGACGUAGGGGGCAAGCGGUAUCCGGAUUUACUGGGGGUAAAGGGGGCGCGGACGGGAGUGCAAGACAGGAGUGAAAGCCCGGGGCUCAACCCCGGGACUGCACUUGGAACUGCAUGGCUGGAGUACAGGAGGGGCAGGCGGAAUUCCUAGUGUAGCGGUGAAAUGCGUAGAUAUUAGGAGGAACACCAGUGGCGAAGGCGGCCUGCUGGACUGUAACUGACGUUGAGGCCCGAAGGCGUGGGGAGCAAACAGGAUUAGAUACCCCUGUAGUC
Molecule: ribosomal RNA, 440 nt
Filed under: uncultured bacterium
Lineage: Bacteria
Description: partial 16S ribosomal RNA
Rfam family: Bacterial small subunit ribosomal RNA
Source: RNAcentral